Megalobrama amblycephala (Wuchang bream) is the source of this 1850-nucleotide long non-coding RNA. RefSeq lists it as uncharacterized. Lineage: Eukaryota; Metazoa; Chordata; Actinopteri; Cypriniformes; Xenocyprididae. The record is from RefSeq and is a predicted model, not a curated record. The transcript is spliced from 3 exons.
AGAGCACUUUAAGUACAUUAUAGAAGUGUCCUUUUUUCACCUGGGACAACAAUUCAUUUGAGUUUCAUGCUAUUACAAUCUCAAUUCCUGUCAAAAUUCAUAUCGUAAUUCCCCAUUUGUUCACCACCAUCCCCUCUACCAGUUACCUUCAGAUGAAACCUGUGCUCUCUUUCUUCUUCUUAUCUUUACUCUGCUGUAUCAUCCUCCCUUCCCUCAUCCACACAAUUCUCAUCUCUGGAUGUGAAUACAGCAACAGACACUUUAUGUUCCACCUUAACUUCAUCUUUAGAUAGUAUCUGUUCUCUGUCAUCCAGGCCUGCACAUGCUACUCCCUCAAAUUCCUGAUUAUCUGAUGUUCUUCGUGAACACCGGACCAAACUCAGGGCUGCAGAGAGGAAAUGGCACAAAUCAAAAGACCAAUCUGACCUAGAGCAAUCAAUUGGACGUCAGUCAAUCUGGAUUCAAGAGUGGCCACUCAACCGAAAUUGCACUACUGUCGGUCACUGAAUCCUUGCGGAUUGCAAAGGCUGAUUCCAAAUCAUCAGUUCUCAUUCUGCUCGAUCUAUCUGCUGCCUUUGAUACGGUGAAUCAUCAGAUCCUUCUGGUCCACCCUCUCCAUCACUGGGCAUCACAGAUGAUCCCACAGUAGCUGCACAAAUCUCAAGCUGUCUGGCGGACAUCUCAGCAUGGAUGAAAGAACAUCUGCAGCUCAACCUGGCAAAGACCGAGCUUCUCGUCUUCCCUGCCAAUCUGACUCUAAAGCAUGAUUUCAGCAUCCAGCGAGGUACAUCCUCAAUUACCUCAUCAAAAUUGGCCAAAAAUCUUGGAGUAAUCCUUGACCUUCAAAGACCACAUUGCAAAGACAGCUCGGUCAUGCAGAUUUGCACUAUACAACAUCAGGAAAAUCAGGCCCUUUCUGACAGAACAUGCAACACAACUUCUCGUCCAGGCCCUGGUCAUUUCUAGGCUUGAUUACUGCAAUACUCUUCUGGCUGGACUGCCAUCAUGCACAAUCAAACCUCUACAAUUGAUUCAGAAUGCUGCAGCACGUCUCGUCUUUAACAAGCCCAAAAGAGCCCACGUCACGCCUCUCUUCAUCUCUCUGCACUGGCUACCACUUGCUGCUCGCAUCAAAUUCAAGGCAUUGAUGAUUGCUCUACCACAGGCUUAGCACCCUCCUACUUCCACUCACUCUUACGAGUCUACACUCCUACCAGAAGCCUACACUCAUUAAAGGAGCAAAUGCUCAUGGUACCAUCACAGAGAGGCAUGAAAUCACUCUCCAGGACAUUCUCAUUCACUAUUCCUUGCUGUUGGAAUGAUCUUCCUGCCUUCAUCCGGAAUGCAGAAUCCCUGGCAAUAUUCAAAAGACAGCUGAAAACUCAUCUCUUUCGUGAGCACUUAACCUCAUCCUAAAAAAAAAAAAACCUAUACCUAUCCUUUCACUUCCUUUAAUCCCUCUCUCUUUUAUGAUAGCACUGCCUAAAACUUGUAUUGUGAGCACUUCUUGUGUCUAUUUGCCUCGUCAUGAUGACUCACUUGUUGUAUUCCUCACUUGUAAGUCGCUUAGGAUAAAAGCGUCUGCCAAAUAAAUAAAUGUAAAUGUUAAAUGUAAAUGUAAUAAAUCUAUUUAUUUUACUAGCUAAAUUUUUUAUACAUGUGCAAUUUGCAAUUGUUUUUUUUGGGGGGGGGUCUGUAAAGCCCCUUUUUCUUAGAUUUUGUAAAGAUUUGAAGUAUUACUGGGGUGUGACGAGUCACGAGAUCUCGCGAGAUUAAUAUGUGAUAAGAUUUCUCGUCGAGGCGAAAAGUAGGCUGCGUCCAAAAACUGGAAAAUGCUGCCUUCUGAGGAC